GAUGAACGCUGACCGAAUGCUUAACACAUGCAAGUCUUUGGCGAAGCUGUGCUUGCACAGCCUAGCCAAGGCGGACGGGUGAGUAACGCGUAAGGAACUUGCCCUGCAGUCAGGGAUAACAGACGGAAACGACUGAUAAGACCUGGUAAAGUCAGGCGGACUCAUGUCCAGCCUGAUGAAAAGAGAUGCUGCAGGAGAGCCUUGCGUCCUAUUAGCUUGUUGGUGGGGUAACGGCCCACCAAGGCGAUGAUAGGUAGCCGGCCUGAGAGGGUGGACGGCCACAAGGGGACUGGGAUACGGCCCUUACUCCUACGGGAGGCAGCAGUGGGGAAUAUUGGACAAUGGGGGCAACCCUGAUCCAGCAAUUCUGUGUGCACGAUGAAGGUUUUCGGAUUGUAAAGUGCUUUCAGCAGGGAAGAAAAAAAUGACGGUACCUGCAGAAGAAGCGACGGCUAAAUACGUG
This 463-nucleotide ribosomal RNA is filed under the name uncultured bacterium. Its description in RNAcentral is "partial 16S ribosomal RNA". It matches the Rfam family "Bacterial small subunit ribosomal RNA", at positions 28 to 507 of the family's 1533-position model. The record is from RNAcentral.